UUAAUGCAUCUAAAAAAUCAAAUCAGUACGAAUGAACAUUUUAUGGUUCACAACCUUGAUUUUCGGGUCUAUUUCCAAUCAUUUUGUGGGUACAGAUGUUUUUCACUAAUUAAACAAGUACUUAAAAGGGAAUAUAGUCAAAAGAGAAGGCGUCCACCUCAGCAAAUAAAAUCAACGAAUGAGGGAGUACUAUACUGCCACAUCAAUUUAUUCUUUCACCACCGUUCUCUUCAUCUCCUUCCCGAUGAAUCUCUUGGUUUCCUUCCCUGCGAAUUCAUAACCGCUUCUUAUACAGUUAAUUGCAUAAAUUAAUUGAUUAACGUUAUGACCCUUAAUAUAUAAAUCGAGUGAUGGCCGAAUCUAAUUCUCAGUUUUUCUCACGCUUAGGUUUUUGACUUAUAGAGCUUGAGAUUUGUUUUCCUUUCGCUAGCUUAUUCUUAUGCUCUUUGUCAUCGAUUUUUAUUUGGAUCUCGCAUUAGGUAUAGAAUAACUUCCGGAAUACUAUUCUGAUCUGACACUAUAUUUAAUUUGUUUAGGUUAUAAGGAGGACUUGCAAGGAUCGAGAUGGAUGCCGCUUCAGAAGGUAGCAAUCUCAUGGAGAAGGUCAGUAGGUACCUCCUUCGUUGGUUAGAAUCUAAAAACACUAUAUUGGUUUGUGGGUUUCAGUAGAGUUGAGAACUUGGCUUUAAAUUUGUAUGCAGGAGAUCGAGUUUGAGUUGGAGGCUAAGGGAAGAAAUAUUUUUCAGGAAAAGGAAAUAAUUUAGAGGUAUUUACAUAAUGUUAAUGCUUGUGGCUUUUAGUUGGGAAAUGCAUACGCGGAUUGUUUCUUCUUCUUUUUUUUUUUUUUUUGGACAAAUGUUGAUUGUUUCUUCCUGUUCUGUAGUAAUUGAAGAUAAGAAACUAAAGACUCAGCUUGCUUCACGAGAAAAUUUAUAUGGCAAAUUUCUACUCUUAACUUAUCAACAUCAAAGUUUCAACUCGGUGAAUAUCUGAAAUCUUGCGUAAGUCAAUCUUGAGGUUAACAAGGAAAAUCCAAGUACUAUCACCAUUUGUAUUCAUUCCAGUCCUGAGUUAGUAUCUGACAGUAUAUAUUUAUAUAUUACAAUAUCCCUUGCUUCACGAUGCCAGUCGUGAGCUUAUGUUGUUGACUCCUUUAAUGUUGGUACUGAACAUGUUUCUCUUUCUCCCAGAAUUCAAGCAUCGGCAUGAAGAAGUCAAAGCUGAUUUAGCAGCAGCAUGCAUGAUCCAAUGUUUCUCUCAGUCAAGCUCAUUCCCAGAGAGCAACUUGCACUAAUCUGUAGUUUAAUUGGUUAAAAUGUAUGGUUUCAUGAUGAUCUUACUCAUGUUUCUCACUCUUUCUUUGCUAAUGAUGCAGAGUGUGGAGUUUCUGUUCCUGAUGACAAGAGACUUUUCAAGUUAGUAAGCAUGUCUGGUGCUCUUGAGGAACUGUACUAUCGUGGAAAGACAUCCUUUCCAAAAAGAUAAUUAUUCAGGCUGGUUCUGAACAAGAAGAUAUUAGACAUACAAUUGCACAAGUUGGUAUCUCGACAUGGCGCUGUAACUAUUUAUUACCUUUACUUAUGUCAGUUUUAAUUUCUUUUUUAAUUGGGAAAAGUUGGAUUUUUAUCUCAUCCUGAACCAACCUGACUAGCAGGGGAAGAAUGUCAAUCAACAGAACCCAAAUAUUCUAUGAUCACCAGAUGAUGCUGAAAAGUUUGCAUUGUGACUGACUAUUAGUUAAUUUCUUUUACAAGUUUGGAACUAAUAUAUUUUCUGAUUGAAACA
This is a long non-coding RNA of Brassica napus (rape), 1785 nucleotides long. RefSeq lists it as uncharacterized. The record is from RefSeq and is a predicted model, not a curated record. The transcript has 3 exons. Lineage: Eukaryota; Viridiplantae; Streptophyta; Magnoliopsida; Brassicales; Brassicaceae.